This 316-nucleotide unclassified non-coding RNA is filed under the name plant metagenome. RNAcentral's name for it is "partial contains 5.8S ribosomal RNA, internal transcribed spacer 2, and large subunit ribosomal RNA". The stretch from base 1 to 101 matches the Rfam family "5.8S ribosomal RNA", at positions 54 to 154 of the family's 154-position model. The record is from RNAcentral.
UGCGAUAAGUAAUGUGAAUUGCAGAAUUCAGUGAAUCAUCGAAUCUUUGAACGCACAUUGCGCCCGCCAGUAUUCUGGCGGGCAUGCCUGUUCGAGCGUCAUUACAACCCUCAGGCCCCCGGGCCUGGCGUUGGGGAUCGGCGGAAGCCCCCUGCGGGCACAACGCCGUCCCCCAAAUACAGUGGCGGUCCCGCCGCAGCUUCCAUUGCGUAGUAGCUAACACCUCGCAACUGGAGAGCGGCGCGGCCACGUCGUAAAACACCCAACUUCUGAAUGUUGACCUCGAAUCAGGUAGGAAUACCCGCUGAACUUAAGC